Molecule: long non-coding RNA, 1032 nt
Filed under: Meleagris gallopavo (turkey)
Lineage: Eukaryota; Metazoa; Chordata; Aves; Galliformes; Phasianidae
Description: lncRNA (ENSMGAG00000022356.1)
Source: RNAcentral
AUGGCACUGUGCAAACCUGGGAACCACAGGAAGGGCUUGGAGGAACUCCUGGCAACGGGAGGCAUGUUUCCAGGGCCUCCUGAGCAGGAUGACAUCAGAAGUGCUCCUUUCAACCAUGGAAACCAAAGGCAAUCAACAAGUGCUCAGCCACAUAUUCACAGACUCUGGAAGGAAAAAGCACUCCUCCCACUGCUGUGCUAUAGGGCCCUUCUCCCCCUCCUUCUCAUCAUCUCCUGCCUGGCUUCCCUUGGAGAUGGGAGAAAGGCAAUGGCUGUGAUCUUCAUGCUCACAUGGCCUAAUAAGUACCAUCAAGCACCAACUCAAGAACAACUCAUUGCUUUCUUUAUUACACGGAUGGUGGAAGGCAGCACCCCCACUCUAGGCAGCACCAACCCUUCUACGUCACAGCCACAUCACCAUGGGCAGCCAGCAGCUCCAGGAACCACCCUUCAGCUGUCACAGCUAUGUCACAAGAGCACAACAGUGGUGAUGGCUGUGUUCCUCCAGACCACACAUGGGGACAGCGAUACAGAAUUGGAGUGGUUCUUUCCACAAAUGUCUGCGGAAAUGGCUGGCAGAGCAGCAACCCGAUGGGCACCCAAAUGAAGAUGGAGCCAGGGCAGGAUACACGUCUAUCCUCAUCUCACUAAAUGGUCUCCAUGCUGCCAUAAGGAAAAGGUAAGUCAGCCACAAACAGUACCCCUUCUAGUUUCUGAGGGUCCCUGGGAGCUCCCCAAGGUCCUCCUGCCCACACCACAACAUUUGAUACCUCUCUGCAGAGACCUGGCCCCACGGCAGGUGCUGGCACCAGACCUAUUGAUUGCAAUGGCACUUUCAAAACACGGCCAUGGAAAUGGCUGGCAGAGCAGCAACCCGGUGAGCAGGGCAAUGCUGGGGAGGGCAGCAUAGGCAACCAGGGCACGUGGCUGCUUCUUCCUUGCUUCCCAUCUGCCUUGCAGAUGGGCACCCAAAUGAAGAUGGAGCCAGGGCAGGAUACACGUCUAUCCUCAUCUCACUAAAUGGUCUCCAUGC